AUGACACGUGAUGAACUCAUGUGUCAAAUCUGUGGCUUACAUCCCUUGGAGCCGGGAAAAGUCGGCGCACAUAAAGUCCUGCCACCAUUGCCUCCAAAGAAGAAGAAGAAAGUGACAUUUGUAGAACAACCAACUACAGUGACGUACAAAACUUUGGACCAGCUAGAAGAUACACACAACAUAGAAAGUGAACCAAGGAAGGGACACAACCAAACCCUAAUGUCAGCAAUCAGACAUGUGGGGUAUAGUCAGAACCUAAGCCAAACUCAUGUGCAAGUAACUGCCACCCAAAAUGAGGCAAUUCAUUUGGAAAGAAAGGAAAUUCCCACCCAUAGUUUGGAAAACCAGGACAAGAACAAGGAAACAUAUGGCAUCCAUCACCUAAGAAGAGCCACCCAACCAGUAGCUGGUAUACCUACACAUCAAGCUCAAGCACCAAAUAAAGACCAUGUGCGGGCAACUCCUGUUCACAAUGAGGCAAAUUUGGGCAAUGCCAAGGCAACUCACCCACAUAGUUUGGCGACCCAGGAGAAUACCAAGGCAACAUGUUCAAUCUAG
Molecule: ribosomal RNA, 558 nt
Filed under: Triticum aestivum (bread wheat)
Lineage: Eukaryota; Viridiplantae; Streptophyta; Magnoliopsida; Poales; Poaceae
Description: partial small subunit ribosomal RNA
Source: RNAcentral